RNAcentral lists this ribosomal RNA (497 nucleotides) under uncultured bacterium. Its description in RNAcentral is "partial 16S ribosomal RNA". It matches the Rfam family "Bacterial small subunit ribosomal RNA", at positions 28 to 507 of the family's 1533-position model. The record is from RNAcentral.
GACGAACGCUGGCGGCGUGCCUAAUACAUGCCAGUUGAGCGCUGAAGGUUGGUACUUGUACCAACUGGAUGAGCAGCGAACGGGUGAGUAACGCGUGGGGAAUCUGCCUUUGAGCGGGGGACAACAUUUGGAAACGAAUGCUAAUACCGCAUAAAAACUUUAAACACAAGUUUUAAGUUUGAAAGAUGCAAUUGCAUCACUCAAAGAUGAUCCCGCGUUGUAUUAGCUAGUUGGUGAGGUAAAGGCUCACCAAGGCGAUGAUACAUAGCCGACCUGAGAGGGUGCACGGCCACAUUGGGACUGAGACACGGCCCAAACUCCUACGGGAGGCAGCAGUAGGGAAUCUUCGGCAAUGGACGAAAGGCUGACCGAGCAACGCCGCGUGAGUGAAGAAGGUUUUCGGAUCGUAAAACUCUGUUGGUAGAGAAGAACGUUGGUGAGAGUGGAAAGCUCAUCAAGUGACGGUAACUACCCAGAAAGGGACGGCUAACUACGUG